GAAUGGUAUUGUUUAGGGUGUUGGGAGGAAGAGAGGAUUGCUCUUUUGUACCUCAAAGAAAAUAUAAACUUUCUAGAUGGAGAGAAGUUUCCUUCAUGGGUGGUUAAUGAGAUUGGAGCUGACUGUUGUCAAUGGGAAAGGGUUGAAUGCAGCAACACAAUUAAACGAGUAAUCCAAACUAAUCUUGAUGGGGCUAGGGAUCUGAAAUUGGGAGAUUAGUAUUUUAAUGCCUCUCUAUUUCUUCCCCUUCAAGAGCUCAGAAAUCUCUCUUUGUAUAAGAAUCAGUUAGUUGGUUGGACUGAGAAUGAAGGUGUGAUGCCAUAUCUCCUUAAUUAGGUAGCUUCAAUUUUAUCAUUCCUAUUUUGGUUGAGUGAUAAUUAUAGAUAUGUUGAACUUUGUUGCAGGUUUUGAUAGAUUGUCAAAGUCGAGAAAUUUGGAGGCCCUUGAUCUGGGUUCCAAUUCAUUUGAUCGCAAAAUUUUGUCAUCUCUUAGUUAGCUUUCUUCUCUCAAGCAUUUGAGAAUUCGAGGCACCCUUUUAGGGAGAGAAACUUAUGGCAAUAGUAAGUUCAAUAUACUUCAUAUUCUGGUGGCUAUUUUGUAGAUCAUGUAAUUAUCGAAG
RNAcentral lists this long non-coding RNA (619 nucleotides) under Olea europaea subsp. europaea. Lineage: Eukaryota; Viridiplantae; Streptophyta; Magnoliopsida; Lamiales; Oleaceae. The record is from RNAcentral.